This 395-nucleotide ribosomal RNA is filed under the name uncultured bacterium. RNAcentral describes it as "partial 16S ribosomal RNA". It matches the Rfam family "Bacterial small subunit ribosomal RNA", at positions 338 to 730 of the family's 1533-position model. The record is from RNAcentral.
CCUACGGGGGGCAGCAGUGAGGAAUAUUGGUCAAUGGACGCGAGCCUGAACCAGCCAAGUCGCGUGAAGGAAGACGGCUCUAUGAAUUGUAAACCGCUUUUGUAGGAGGGCAAAAGCAGAGACGCGUAGCGGUCUGAGAGUAACCGACGAAAAAGGAUCGGCUAACUCCGUGCCAGCAGCCGCGGUAAUACGGAGGAUGCGAGCGUUAUCCGGAUUUAUUGGGUUUAAAGGGUGGGUAGGCGGGCAGAUAAGUUAGAGGUUAAAUCGGGAGGCUCAACUUCGGUCGUGCCGUUGAUACUGGUUGGCUAGAGAGUAGUUGCGGUAUGCGGAAUGCAUGGUGUAGCGGUGAAAUGCUUAGAUAUCACGCAGAACACCGAUUGCGAAGGCAGCUUACC